This is a long non-coding RNA of Peromyscus eremicus (cactus mouse), 1186 nucleotides long. RefSeq lists it as uncharacterized. The transcript has 3 exons. NCBI's taxonomy places the organism in Eukaryota, Metazoa, Chordata, Mammalia, Rodentia, Cricetidae. The record is from RefSeq and is a predicted model, not a curated record.
ACAAUCCAAAUCAGAUCAUGGAGUGUGAUCACUAUGCCUUCCUAGAACCUUUUAUUCUUAACAGGUUGCUAGAUUUUUCCAAAUCAAAGUAAUAAAAUGCCCAGGUGUCUAACUUUCAGUUUCAGGGUUCUGUGUGUAUCUAUUCUGUGGACCUGAAGAUGUCAAAGGAGUCCUAUGCUGAAGUCAUUGUUUGAGAGUUCUUCUGACUUGCCUUUUCUAGACAAUGUAUCUAAGGAUCCCUUUAACUUGUAAUAUGAAGAAAAAACUGAAGGCAGAGAAACCAGAUAGGAGGUCAACAGAUGAAAACCUGAACUGAGAAUUUGCACAAAUAUGAAGAAAAAUCCCGCUCUGAAAUGUUGAGAAGGUAAAAUGAGGGACACGAUGAGCAAUGAGAUGUAUGGGACUGUGCUGAGAGGGGAAGAGGCCAAUUUUUACUCAGAAGUUCAUGGAAUAUGAAGCUACCAACAAAACCAGUGAGUUCACAAGAGGAAUUAGAGGGCGCAUGUUUUAAAGUUCAUGCCUACAAAGAAACAAGACAGAAAGCGGAAAGACUAUGCAUUUGGUUCAGAGAAUCGGAUAACCAUCCACACUUGUUUAAACUCAGCAGCAUCCCAGAAGCCACCAGUACCAGAGGACACAAUUAUCUGGAGAAAGCUGUAGCAUUCAACAUCACUUAGUAUGCCUGAAAUGUGCCAACACAGUACAUCUAGCAAUGUUGCCAUUUGAACGAAGUUCUCUUACAGCAGAAGGACCACCUCCCUCUCCCUCCCCUUCACUUCUUAAGAAAGUUUUUAAUGAUCAGUUUGCCAGAAAAGUAACAAUUACUAACUCAGAAGGUGCUUUUGAAAACAAAUACCUGCUGGAGAACAGUUACAGAGUGAAAAUUCCAACACUGUUUUCACUGACAACCAGGCUGGGAUCCUGGGUAAUGAUGUCCAUUAUCUCAUGCGGUCCCAUUCUAAAAUGGAAACAACAACUUCACACGGUGAUAGAAUGGUUAAGUACAAAGAUCCAUGCAGCACAGUGUCUGGUCAGCUCCCAGCAUCAGAUCCAUUUUCAUCACCACUCCCUACCCCUACCACUUCCAACAUCAGGGUUACUAUGUGUUUAUUUUGAUGACAGUGUAAUACAUCGGACACUAUGGAAACAUCAGUGGCAUUUAGUAGGCAUUGGCAAUUAAUUAUAA